AGGAACCGGAUGCGGGAAAACCGCACGUCCGGGUCUGUGCGGGGGCGCCCAGUGACGGGCGUUCCUGGCGAAAAUACCCUGGCGAAAAUACCCUGGCGCAAAUACCCUUGACAAUCUGCCUGUCCCAAA
Molecule: unclassified non-coding RNA, 129 nt
Filed under: Candidatus Kentrum sp. LFY
Lineage: Bacteria; Pseudomonadati; Pseudomonadota; Gammaproteobacteria
Source: RNAcentral